RNAcentral lists this ribosomal RNA (467 nucleotides) under Listeria monocytogenes. RNAcentral's name for it is "partial 23S ribosomal RNA". It matches the Rfam family "Bacterial large subunit ribosomal RNA", at positions 1238 to 1703 of the family's 2925-position model. The record is from RNAcentral. Lineage: Bacteria; Bacillati; Bacillota; Bacilli; Caryophanales; Listeriaceae.
GUUCUAAGGGCGGUGAAGUCAGACCGGAAGGACUGGUGGAGCGCUUAGAAGUGAGAAUGCCGGUAUGAGUAGCGAAAGAAGGGUGAGAAUCCCUUCCACCGAAUAUCUAAGGUUUCCUGAGGAAGGCUCGUCCGCUCAGGGUUAGUCGGGACCUAAGCCGAGGCCGAUAGGCGUAGGCGAUGGACAACAGGUAGAGAUUCCUGUACCAGUGCUAAUUGUUUAACCGAUGGGGUGACACAGAAGGAUAGGGAAUCGCACGAAUGGAAAUGUGCGUCCAAGCAGUGAGUGUGAGAAGUAGGCAAAUCCGCUUCUCGCGAAGCAUGAGCUGUGAUGGGGAAGGAAAUUAAGUACGGAAGUUCCUGAUUUCACGCUGUCAAGAAAAGCCUCUAGGAAGAGUAGUACUGCCCGUACCGCAAACCGACACAGGUAGAUGAGGAGAGAAUCCUAAGGUGAGCGAGAGAACUCUC